RNAcentral lists this ribosomal RNA (523 nucleotides) under uncultured bacterium. Its description in RNAcentral is "bacterial SSU rRNA". It matches the Rfam family "Bacterial small subunit ribosomal RNA", at positions 224 to 744 of the family's 1533-position model. The record is from RNAcentral.
GAUGAGCAUGCGUCCCAUUAGCUAGUUGGUAAGGUAACGGCUUACCAAGGCUACGAUGGGUAGGGGUCCUGAGAGGGAGAUCCCCCACACUGGUACUGAGACACGGACCAGACUCCUACGGGAGGCAGCAGUGAGGAAUAUUGGACAAUGGGCGCAAGCCUGAUCCAGCCAUGCCGCGUGCAGGAUGACGGUCCUAUGGAUUGUAAACUGCUUUUAUACGAGAAGAAACACUGCUUCGUGAAGCAGCUUGACGGUAUCGUAAGAAUAAGGAUCGGCUAACUCCGUGCCAGCAGCCGCGGUAAUACGGAGGAUCCAAGCGUUAUCCGGAAUCAUUGGGUUUAAAGGGUCCGUAGGCGGUUUGGUAAGUCAGUGGUGAAAGCCCAUCGCUCAACGGUGGAACGGCCAUUGAUACUGCCAGACUUGAAUUAUUAGGAAGUAACUAGAAUAUGUAGUGUAGCGGUGAAAUGCUUAGAGAUUACAUGGAAUACCAAUUGCGAAGGCAGGUUACUACUAAUGGAUUGAC